AGAGAGUCAACAGCCAUAUUUGCUGGAGCAGUGAACCAGAUUGCCUUGACUGGAACCAUUACUCACUUGCACCUUCGACAGCAGCAGCCAGGAAAUUUGAAGACAGUCAUGCCUAUUAGAUGCUUAGAAGAUGCAGAUAGCUGUAUCAAAAUGGAGGAGCUGAAGAGAGCUUUGCUCUAGUAGAUCACAAAUAUUUC
Long non-coding RNA from Melopsittacus undulatus (budgerigar), 197 nucleotides. RefSeq lists it as uncharacterized. NCBI's taxonomy places the organism in Eukaryota, Metazoa, Chordata, Aves, Psittaciformes, Psittaculidae. The record is from RefSeq and is a predicted model, not a curated record. The transcript has 3 exons.